This 576-nucleotide ribosomal RNA is filed under the name uncultured Phyllobacterium sp. RNAcentral describes it as "bacterial SSU rRNA". It matches the Rfam family "Bacterial small subunit ribosomal RNA", at positions 50 to 674 of the family's 1533-position model. Lineage: Bacteria; Pseudomonadati; Pseudomonadota; Alphaproteobacteria; Hyphomicrobiales; Phyllobacteriaceae. The record is from RNAcentral.
AACACAUGCAAGUCGCCCGCCCCGCAAGGGGAGUGGCAGACGGGUGAGUAACGCGUGGGAAUCUACCCAAUUCUUCGGAACAACACAUGGAAACGUGUGCUAAUACCGGAUGAGCCCUUCGGGGGAAAGAUUUAUCGGAAUUGGAUGAGCCCGCGUUGGAUUAGCUAGUUGGUGGGGUAAAGGCCUACCAAGGCGACGAUCCAUAGCUGGUCUGAGAGGAUGAUCAGCCACACUGGGACUGAGACACGGCCCAGACUCCUACGGGAGGCAGCAAGUGUGAAUAUUGGACAAUGGGCGCAAGCCUGAUCCAGCCAUGCCGCGUGAGUGAUGAAGGUCUUAGGAUUGUAAAGCUCUUUCACCGGUGAAGAUAAUGACGGUAACCGGAGAAGAAGCCCCGGCUAACUUCGUGCCAGCAGCCGCGGUAAUACGAAGGGGGCUAGCGUUGUUCGGAUUUACUGGGCGUAAAGCGCACGUAGGCGGACUUUUAAGUCAGGGGUGAAAUCCCGGGGCUCAACCCCGGAAGCGCCUUUGAUACUGGGAGUCUUGAGUUCGAGAGAGGAGAGUGGAAUUGCGAGU